GAUGAACGCUGGCGGCGUGCCUAAUACAUGCAAGUAGAAUGCUGAAGCUUGGUGCUUGCACCGAGCGGAUGAGUUGCGAACGGGUGAGUAACGCGUAGGUAACCUGCCUGGUAGCGGGGGAUAACUAUUGGAAACGAUAGCUAAUACCGCAUAACAGUAGAUAUUGCAUGAUAUCUGCUUGAAAGGUGCAAAUGCAUCACUACCAGAUGGACCUGCGUUGUAUUAGCUAGUUGGUGAGGUAACGGCUCACCAAGGCGACGAUACAUAGCCGACCUGAGAGGGUGAUCGGCCACACUGGGACUGAGACACGGCCCAGACUCCUACGGGAGGCAGCAGUAGGGAAUCUUCGGCAAUGGGGGGAACCCUGACCGAGCAACGCCGCGUGAGUGAAGAAGGUUUUCGGAUCGUAAAGCUCUGUUGUAAGAGAAGAACGAGUGUGAGAGUGGAAAGUUCACACUGUGACGGUAUCUUACCAGAAAGGGACGGCUAACUACGUG
Molecule: ribosomal RNA, 497 nt
Filed under: uncultured bacterium
Lineage: Bacteria
Description: partial 16S ribosomal RNA
Rfam family: Bacterial small subunit ribosomal RNA
Source: RNAcentral